UGGGGAAUAUUGCACAAUGGGGAAGACCCUGAUGCAGCGACGCCGCGUGAGUGAAGAAGUAUUUCGGUAUGUAAAGCUCUAUCAGCAGGGAAGAAAAUGACGGUACCUGACUAAGAAGCCCCGGCUAACUACGUGCCAGCAGCCGCGGUAAUACGUAGGGGGCAAGCGUUAUCCGGAUUUACUGGGUGUAAAGGGAGCGUAGACGGCUGUGCAAGUCUGAUGUGAAAGGCAGGGGCUCAACUCCUGGACUGCAUUGGAAACUGUGUAGCUUGAGUGCCGGAGAGGUAAGCGGAAUUCCUAGUGUAGCGGUGAAAUGCGUAGAUAUUAGGAGGAACACCAGUGGCGAAGGCGGUCUGCUGGACAGCAACUGACGCUGAGGCGCGAAAGCGUGGGGAGCAAACAGGAUUAGAUACCC
This 415-nucleotide ribosomal RNA is filed under the name uncultured bacterium. RNAcentral's name for it is "bacterial SSU rRNA". It matches the Rfam family "Bacterial small subunit ribosomal RNA", at positions 355 to 787 of the family's 1533-position model. The record is from RNAcentral.